GGGUGUCGACUCCCUCCGUGUCGUAGCUAACGCGUUAAGUGACCCGCCUGGGGAGUACGGCCGCAAGGCUAAAACUCAAAGGAAUUGACGGAGACCCGCACAAGCAGCGGAGCAUGUGGAUUAAUUCGACGUAACGCGAAGAACCUUACCUGGGCUUGACAUACUGCUGACCGGCAUGGAAACAUGCCUUUCCUUCGGGACAGCAAUANCAGGUGGUGCAUGGCUGUCGUCAGCUCGUGUCGUGAGAUGUUGGGUUGAGUCCCGCAACGAGCGCAACCCCCGUCCUAUGUUGCCAGCAUUCAGUUGGGGACUCAUAGGAGACUGCCGGUGACAAACCGGAGGAAGGUGGGGAUGACGUCAAGUCAUCAUGCCCCUUAUGUNCCAGGGCUUCACACGUGCUACAUUGGCGCAUANCAGAGGGCUGCGAUANCCGCGAGGUGGAGCGAAUCCCAAAAAGUGCGUCUCGGUUCGGAUUGAAGGCUGAAACUCGCCUUCAUGAAGGCGGAGUUGCUAGUAAUCCCAGAUCAGCAAUGCUGGGGUGAAUACGUUCCCGGG
RNAcentral lists this ribosomal RNA (555 nucleotides) under uncultured bacterium. Its description in RNAcentral is "bacterial SSU rRNA". It matches the Rfam family "Bacterial small subunit ribosomal RNA", at positions 827 to 1378 of the family's 1533-position model. The record is from RNAcentral.